UUCCAGGCCCUUUACGGGGCGCAGUAGGCGCGAAAACUUUACAAUGCGGGAAACCGUGAUAAGGGGACACCGAGUGCCAGCAUCACAUGUUGGCUGUCCAGAUGUGUAAAAUACAUCUGUUAGCAAGGGCCGAGCAAGACCGGUGCCAGCCGCCGCGGUAACACCGGCGGCCCGAGUGGUGAUCGUGAUUAUUGGGUCUAAAGGGUCCGUAGCCGGUUUGGUCAGUCCUCCGGGAAAUCUGACGGCUCAACCGUUAGGCUUUCGGUGGAUACUGCCAGACUUGGAACCGGGAGAGGUAAGAGGUACUACAGGGGUAGGAGUGAAAUCUUGCAAUCCCUGUGAGAUCACCUGUGGCGAAGGCGUCUUACCAGAACGGGUUCGACGGUGAGGGACGAAAGCUGGGGGCACGAACCGGAUUAGAUACCCGGGUAGUCCCAGCCGUAAACGAUGCUCGCUAGGUGUCAGGCACGGCGCGACCGUGUCUGGUGCCGCAGGGAGGCCGUGAAGCUGAGCCACCUGGGAAGUACGGCCGCAAGGCUGAAACUUAAAGGAAUUUGGCGGGGGAG
This 566-nucleotide ribosomal RNA is filed under the name uncultured Methanosarcina sp. RNAcentral's name for it is "bacterial SSU rRNA". It matches the Rfam family "Archaeal small subunit ribosomal RNA", at positions 314 to 876 of the family's 1478-position model. The record is from RNAcentral. Lineage: Archaea; Methanobacteriati; Methanobacteriota; Methanomicrobia; Methanosarcinales; Methanosarcinaceae.